GAAUUGGUUCCAUUUGGAACCACAAAACCGAUUAACUAAAUAUACCU
Non-coding RNA from Arabidopsis lyrata subsp. lyrata, 47 nucleotides. Lineage: Eukaryota; Viridiplantae; Streptophyta; Magnoliopsida; Brassicales; Brassicaceae. The record is from Rfam.